RNAcentral lists this ribosomal RNA (109 nucleotides) under Candidatus Roizmanbacteria bacterium RIFCSPHIGHO2_01_FULL_38_41. The record is from RNAcentral. Lineage: Bacteria; Candidatus Roizmaniibacteriota. RNAcentral also lists the same sequence under 5 other names.
CUUGGUGAUUGGAGCGGUCUGGAAACACCUCUUCCCAUUCCGAACAGAGCCGUGAAACGGGCCAGCGCCGACGAUACUGCCUUUGUGGGACAAUAGGUCAUCGCCAAGG